CCGAGGACAGAGUUGUCUGUGUGUGGCGGGGGACGGUGCGGAUGGCCUGGGCCGUGGGGCAGAGGCUGUUCUCCGACCCCAUCGUCAUGGGAAGCCAUCAUCGUCCCUGGUACAGGUUGGGGAAACUGAGGCCAGGAGGAAGAGGGACCAGCCUGGGCUGCAAGAACCCAGGGAGUCCUCUUCCUCCCCUCGGGCAGUCUUUCCCAUCUUUCAAGCCCUGGGCUGUGCCUCUGGGAAGCAGGCCACAUCCUGUUGGUGGCAGAGCAGCCCUGCUGGGAAGUCUUCCUUGGAGUCAGACUUUCACACGAGGCUUCAGGGCUGUGGGGGGCACAGACGGGCGCAGACGGUCACCUCCUCCUGGUCUUGCGCCUACCUCAUGCUGCCUCUAGCCAGGAUAGCCAGGUGGCUCUCACCCCGGCUGGCUCCCAGGCGGUGCCCCCAUCUGUGCAGCCGGCGGGAGCCCUGGAGCCCCAGUGAGACGCAGUAAGCCGAGAGAUGCGGGGUAUCUGUUCAUCUGGCAUUUACUGAGUGUCCACUGGGCAGCAGGCUCUGGGGACACAGGAAGCGCAGUCCUGUCCUGACGGCUGGCACAGGAGCGAGGACACAGCUACGGGACAGAAUCUCUCUAUGUAGCUGAGGCUGUCCUGGAACUCCCGGAGAUCCCUCUGCCUCAGCCUCCCAAGUGGUGGGCUCACAGAUGAGCUCUACUACGCCCAGCAAUUGUCGAAGGUUUGAGGUGUCCUAUGGCCAGACCUGGGCUCCAGGGUCCGGCUGGUUUCCAUCUGAAGGUGCUUGCAGACCACACCUGCCCCGCGGACGAGGGAAGGGGACCAGGAUGCCCUCACCCUCUGGCCACACACAGGCCGAGGAAGGUGGCUGGGAUGGAGGGCGGAUCACCCAGGAUCAGCCAUCCUGCGGGUCGGCAGACCUGGGCUGGGACCAUCCAGAGGACCCUUGCUGUUUCCCAAGCUGUCCCUGCUGUGCGGUGCUCUUGGCUGUCUCUGUGGACCACCCCCCAACCUCUUUCCUUCUCAAUACUGUUGCCAAACAUCUGGAAGAAAAGUGAAAAACGUGCCCCCCCGAGUCCCGGAUGUUGUGAGAUUUCCAGAUGUGGGGUGUUCUGCCCUCCAGAUGAGGCAAGGAAUGUGUCCCAGUGGGGGAGGCCCCCAGCCCUGGACUGCUGUCCUGUCCAAGUGAGCUGAGCAAUGGUUGAGCGGGACCUAGGAUGGCCACGGGGAGGAGGGGCCCAGGUGGAGGUGGUGGGGAGCACUGUCCUCUCAGGCUGGGCUAUACCCCUGACUGCCCCGGGAACCCCCUUGGGGUCUGGGGGUGGCGCUGCCUCUGAAGUUGCUAUCAAAGGCUCCCGGCACUUAAAAAUAACCAGGCACACCCUCCUCCCACCCCCAGCACGGAGGCAGGCAGGGGCUGGGCCCAAUGUGUGCGCAAGAUGUCCUCGAUCUCUGCGGCUUGCACUCGAGGGUCUCUUGCCGCCUCAGCCUCCCACCACCCCGGAGUGGCCCAGGUAGGUUGUGCUGCAUCCCUGCUGUCCAGGCCGGGCACUCAGGGGUGGCUGAAGAGGGCACUGAGCAGCAGGAACGAGGGUGAGCAUCUUGGGCUGGCACCAGUGCAGCCCCUGCCCAGCUGUGGGCUCCCCUGAGAGGUAGUCUCCCCUGGCACCCUUAGACAGGACUCCAGCUGCCUGGCAUGGGCAGACUGUGACACACAGACGCAUGCAAGCUCCUAGACACAGCAGCGGCACACGCGUGCAAUCUCUGGGAGGCUGAGGCAGGAGGAUGGAAAGUUGGAGCCCAGCCUGGGCAAUUUAGCA
This is a long non-coding RNA of Chinchilla lanigera (long-tailed chinchilla), 1828 nucleotides long. RefSeq lists it as uncharacterized. The transcript has 4 exons. NCBI's taxonomy places the organism in Eukaryota, Metazoa, Chordata, Mammalia, Rodentia, Chinchillidae. The record is from RefSeq and is a predicted model, not a curated record.